This 1201-nucleotide ribosomal RNA is filed under the name metagenome. RNAcentral's name for it is "bacterial SSU rRNA". It matches the Rfam family "Bacterial small subunit ribosomal RNA", at positions 187 to 1410 of the family's 1533-position model. The record is from RNAcentral.
AAAAUUGUAAUUGGGAAACGUUUUUUCGCUAAAGGAUGAGACUAUAUGGUAUCAGGUAGUUGGUGGGGUAAGAGCCCACCAAGCCAAUGACGCCUAGCUGGUCUGAGAGGAUGAUCAGCCACACUGGAACUGAGACACGGUCCAGACUCCUACGGGAGGCAGCAGUGGGGAAUAUUGCACAAUGGAGGAAACUCUGAUGCAGCAACGCCGCGUGGAGGAUGACGCAUUUCGGUGUGUAAACUCCUUUUAUAUGGGAAGAUAAUGACGGUACCAUAUGAAUAAGCACCGGCUAACUCCGUGCCAGCAGCCGCGGUAAUACGGAGGGUGCAAGCGUUACUCGGAAUCACUGGGCGUAAAGCGCGCGCAGGCGGCCUUUUAAGUUGGAUGUGAAAGCCUACGGCUCAACCGUAGAACUGCAUCCAAAACUAUUGGGCUAGAGUGUGGGAGAGGAAGAUGGAAUUAGUUGUGUAGGGGUAAAUCCGUAGAGAUAACUAGGAAUACCAAAAGCGAAGGCAAUCUUCUGGAACAUUACCGACGCUGAGGCGCGAAAGCGUGGGGAGCAAACAGGAUUAGAUACCCUGGUAGUCCACGCCCUAAACGAUGAAUGUUAGUCGUCGGGUAGCUAGUCUAUUCGGUGAUGCAGCUAACGCAUUAAACAUUCCGCCUGGGGAGUACGGUCGCAAGAUUAAAACUCAAAGGAAUAGACGGGGACCCGCACAAGUGGUGGAGCAUGUGGUUUAAUUCGAAAAUACGCGAAGAACCUUACCUAGCCUUGACAUAUAUUAGAACACUUUAGAGAUAGAGUGGUGCCUUCGGGAGCUUUUAUACAGGUGCUGCACGGCUGUCGUCAGCUCGUGUCGUGAGAUGUUGGGUUAAGUCCCGCAACGAGCGCAACCCUCGUCACUAGUUACUAACGGUUCGGCCGAGGACUCUAGUGAGACUGCCUUCGUAAGGAGGAGGAAGGUGAGGACGACGUCAAGUCAUCAUGGCCCUUACGGCUAGGGCAACACACGUGCUACAAUGGCCAGGACAAUGAGACGCGAUACCGCGAGGUGGAGCAAAUCUAUAAACCUGGUCUCAGUUCGGAUUGUAGUCUGCAACUCGACUACAUGAAGCUGGAAUCACUAGUAAUCGUAGAUCAGCUAUGCUACGGUGAAUACGUUCCCGGGUCUUGUACUCACCGCCCGUCACACCAUGGGAG